UUAUUAAAAACCCUGGUAGUCCAUGCCGUAAACGAUGUCUACUAGCCGUUGGGGCCUUUGAGGCUUUAGUGGCGCAGCUAACGCGAUAAGUAGACCGCCUGGGGAGUACGGUCGCAAGACUAAAACUCAAAUGAAUUGACGGGGGCCCGCACAAGCGGUGGAGCAUGUGGUUUAAUUCGAUGCAACGCGAAGAACCUUACCUGGUCUUGACAUACUAAGAACUUUCCAGAGAUGGAUUGGUGCCUUCGGGAACUUACAUACAGGUGCUGCAUGGCUGUCGUCAGCUCGUGUCGA
RNAcentral lists this ribosomal RNA (294 nucleotides) under uncultured Acinetobacter sp. Its description in RNAcentral is "partial 16S ribosomal RNA". It matches the Rfam family "Bacterial small subunit ribosomal RNA", at positions 775 to 1068 of the family's 1533-position model. The record is from RNAcentral. Lineage: Bacteria; Pseudomonadati; Pseudomonadota; Gammaproteobacteria; Moraxellales; Moraxellaceae.